GGCCGCAUAGUGUAGCGGUUAUCACCUCGGAUUCUGAGUAAUCGAAAUUCCGGUAACCCCAGUUCGAAUCUGGGUGUGGCCU
Non-coding RNA from Ceratobasidium sp. 395, 82 nucleotides. The record is from the annotation of a GenBank genome assembly. NCBI's taxonomy places the organism in Eukaryota, Fungi, Basidiomycota, Agaricomycetes, Cantharellales, Ceratobasidiaceae.